Molecule: ribosomal RNA, 497 nt
Filed under: uncultured bacterium
Lineage: Bacteria
Description: partial 16S ribosomal RNA
Rfam family: Bacterial small subunit ribosomal RNA
Source: RNAcentral
GAUGAACGCUGGCGGCGUGCCUAAUACAUGCAAGUCGAGCGCAGAGAUGAGGAACUUGUUCCACUGACGUUAGCAGCGGACGGGUGAGUAACACGUGGAGAACCUACCUAUAAGACUGGGAUAACUUCUGGAAACGGAAGCUAAUACCGCAUAAAAUCUUUAACCACAUGGUUCAAUAGUGAAAGACGGAUUUGCAUCCACUUAUAGAUAUAUCCGCUCCGAUUUAUCUAUUUGGGAAGGUAAGGGUCUACCAAGCGAAGAAUCAGAAGCGAACCGGGGAGGGUGUUCGGCCAAACUGGAACGAGAACACGGUCCAGCCUCCUCCGGGAGGAGCAAGUAGGGAAUCUUGGCCAAUGGGCGAAAGCCUGCCGGAGCAACGCGGCGUGAGGGAUGAAGGUUUUCGGAUGUAAAAACUCUGUUAUUAGGAAAGAAGAAGUGUGUAAGUAAAUAUGCACGAAUUGACGGUAACUAAUCAGAAAGCCACGGCUAACUACGUG